This 74-nucleotide non-coding RNA is filed under the name Streptococcus agalactiae 2603V/R. The record is from RNAcentral. Lineage: Bacteria; Bacillati; Bacillota; Bacilli; Lactobacillales; Streptococcaceae.
AAUUUUCUAGAAGAAAAGAUGAACUUCCUAAUGUCUGACGACACUUCGUCGUUCCCUAUUUCUUUACGAAAAUU